AACGGAGCGAAAGCGACGUUCAACCGCAAAACAAGCAGAGGGGGCUUAGUGGUGGGGUGACUGCGUACCUUUUGUAUAAUGGGUCAGCGACUUAUAUUCUGUAGCAAGGUUAACCGAAUAGGGGAGCCGGAGGGAAACCGAGUCUUAAUUGGGCGUUAAGUUGCAGGGUAUAGACCCGAAACCCGGUGAUCUAGCCAUGGGCAGGUUGAAGGUUGGGUAACACUAACUGGAGGACCGAACCGACUAAUGUUGAAAAAUUAGCGGAUGACCUGUGGCUGGGGGUGAAAGGCCAAUCAAACCGGGAGAUAGCUGGUUCUCCCCGAAAGCUAUUUAGGUAGCGCCUCGUGAAUUCAUCUCCGGGGGUAGAGCACUGUUUCGGCUAGGGGGCCAUCCCGGCUUACCAACCCGAUGCAAACUGCGAAUACCGGAGAAUGUUAUCACGGGAGACACACGGCGGGUGCUAACGUCCGUCGUGAAGAGGGAAACAACCCAGACCGCCAGCUAAGGUCCCAAAGUCAUGGUUAAGUGGGAAACGAUGUGGGAAGGCCCAGACAGCCAGGAUGUUGGCUUAGAAGCAGCCAUCAUUUAAAGAAAGCGUAAUAGCUCACUGGUCGAGUCGGCCUGCGCGGAAGAUGUAACGGGGCUAAACCAUGCACCGAAGCUGCGGCAGCGAACGUAUCACCCAAGACAACUUUACGGAGUUGACGAUUGACGGAGCGAAGCGACGUCAAAGCGUUCAUUAAAGUCGAGUUGGCUUAGGGAUACGUUCGUUGGGUAGGGGAGCGUUCUGUAAGCCUGUGAAGGUGUGUCGUGAGGCAUGCUGGAGGUAUCAGAAGUGCGAAUGCUGACAUAAGUAACGAUAAAGCGGGUGAAAAGCCCGCUCGCCGGAAGACCAAGGGUUCCUGUCCAACGUUAAUCGGGGCAGGGUGAGUCGACCCCUAAGGCGAGGCCGAAAGGCGUAGUCGAUGGGAAACGGGUUAAUAUUCCCGUACUUGGUGUUACUGCGAAGGGGGGACGGAGAAGGCUAUGUUGGCCGGGCGACGGUUGUCCCGGUUUAAGCGUGUAGGUGUGUGUUCCAGGUAAAUCCGGUUCACUUUAACACUGAGGCGUGACGACGAGGCACUACGGUGCUGAAGCAACAAAUGCCCUGCUUCCAGGAAAAGCCUCUAAGCAUCAGGUAACACGAAAUCGUACCCCAAACCGACACAGGUGGUCAGGUAGAGAAUACCAAGGCGCUUGAGAGAACUCGGGUGAAGGAACUAGGCAAAAUGGUGCCGUAACUUCGGGAGAAGGCACGCUGACACGUAGGUGAAGUGAUUUACUCAUGGAGCUGAAGUCAGUCGAAGAUACCAGCUGGCUGCAACUGUUUAUUAAAAACACAGCACUGUGCAAACACGAAAGUGGACGUAUACGGUGUGACGCCUGCCCGGUGCCGGAAGGUUAAUUGAUGGGGUCAGCGUAAGCGAAGCUCCUGAUCGAAGCCCCGGUAAACGGCGGCCGUAACUAUAACGGUCCUAAGGUAGCGAAAUUCCUUGUCGGGUAAGUUCCGACCUGCACGAAUGGCGUAAUGAUGGCCAGGCUGUCUCCACCCGAGACUCAGUGAAAUUGAACUCGCUGUGAAGAUGCAGUGUACCCGCGGCAAGACGGAAAGACCCCGUGAACCUUUACUAUAGCUUGACACUGAACAUUGAGCCUUGAUGUGUAGGAUAGGUGGGAGGCUUUGAAGUGUGGACGCCAGUCUGCAUGGAGCCGACCUUGAAAUACCACCCUUUAAUGUUUGAUGUUCUAACGUGGACCCGUAAUCCGGGUUGCGGACAGUGUCUGGUGGGUAGUUUGACUGGGGCGGUCUCCUCCUAAAGAGUAACGGAGGAGCACGAAGGUUGGCUAAUCCUGGUCGGACAUCAGGAGGUUAGUGCAAUGGCAUAAGCCAGCUUGACUGCGAGCGUGACGGCGCGAGCAGGUGCGAAAGCAGGUCAUAGUGAUCCGGUGGUUCUGAAUGGAAGGGCCAUCGCUCAACGGAUAAAAGGUACUCCGGGGAUAACAGGCUGAUACCGCCCAAGAGUUCAUAUCGACGGCGGUGUUUGGCACCUCGAUGUCGGCUCAUCACAUCCUGGGGCUGAAGUAGGUCCCAAGGGUAUGGCUGUUCGCCAUUUAAAGUGGUACGCGAGCUGGGUUUAGAACGUCGUGAGACAGUUCGGUCCCUAUCUGCCGUGGGCGCUGGAGAACUGAGGGGGGCUGCUCCUAGUACGAGAGGACCGGAGUGGACGCAUCACUGGUGUUCGGGUUGUCAUGCCAAUGGCACUGCCCGGUAGCUAAAUGCGGAAGAGAUAAGUGCUGAAAGCAUCUAAGCACGAAACUUGCCCCGA
RNAcentral lists this ribosomal RNA (2366 nucleotides) under Salmonella enterica subsp. enterica serovar Typhimurium. Its description in RNAcentral is "partial 23S ribosomal RNA". It matches the Rfam family "Bacterial large subunit ribosomal RNA", at positions 532 to 2802 of the family's 2925-position model. The record is from RNAcentral. Lineage: Bacteria; Pseudomonadati; Pseudomonadota; Gammaproteobacteria; Enterobacterales; Enterobacteriaceae.